RNAcentral lists this long non-coding RNA (3724 nucleotides) under Triticum aestivum (bread wheat). RNAcentral describes it as "long non-coding RNA (TAES_LNC025518)". The record is from RNAcentral. Lineage: Eukaryota; Viridiplantae; Streptophyta; Magnoliopsida; Poales; Poaceae.
GGAUUCAGCAAAGGGAUAGCUGCAUACUGGCUGGUACAGAACAUUUGGGGACACUUGCAAUCCCUUAUCGGUACUUCGUUUUCGUUUGACGCAGCCAUAUUCGAAAAUAUAAUUGUUAUGUCCUGUUGUGUCAUGGUGGUUUGUGUUUAACCAGAAUUCAGAAUUAACUCAAGUUGACAAGUGCGAGUGCCUGCGAUAUUCUCAGGUUGCAGCUUCUCGAAUGCUGAAUGUUUAGUCUCUUCAGACCCUAGAUUUCCACCACUUGGACAGAGUCGAGCCAGCAUCCGUCACUCACGACAAUGACGGCCACCUCGGUCCUCUCCCCCUCCUCUUUUGGCUGCUGGUAAUUUUGCCGUUGCUUCCUGGCUUCAAUUACCAGUUUAAAUAUGCAAAUAUUCACCUCCUUGUGCAAUUCAGGUCCGUUUAAAUUAUACUGCCAUGGUUUAAAAUCUGGAUAAAAUUACUAUAGCAGUACUGUGAUUCGCUCUGUGACUUCUCUUUCGCACUUGGAACAACAGAAUAGAAAUUGGUUGCUGAGGUAAGGUAAUCAAGAAAAAUCCCCAUUGUUUUUUUUUCUGAUUGUGGUUAUAGUCUAUUUUAAGCCCACAUAAUUUUCUGUUGUUGUGAAUUGUAUUCACCUGCAUGUAGAAAUGGUAAGAUAAAAUUGUUUCACAUUUGAGUAUAUAAUAAAGUUCAGGAUAUUGGGAAGCUUUCUCACAUCAUGCAAGGAUAUAAAACCUAGAAAACUUCAAACAAUAGUGAAGCCAUCACACAACGUCUCCUAGGAGCAUCUCAAAUGUCCUUCGAUAAACUUAAUAUAAGCAGGUUAACUGGAGUGAAUUUUCUUCUCUUUGCUUUGCAUCACUUUCAUAAAGUCUUCGGUACCCUAAAUCUUUACAAGGAAGCUAGGCCCGUGUAUUUUUGUAAUGAUAUUUAGUUCUAUAGGCAACCUGCUUGCAUAGUAUAUUAUAACCUCUUUUUAACUUGCCUUUAAUAACAGACAUGAUGGUACACAAAUUAGUUUUAGGAUGAUACUACUAAGAUGAAUCUUACCAGAUGUACCAUGGAAACAAAUAAUCAUUCACGAGAGUGCACCAAGAACAAUUGUUUUGGACUUUUAUGAAGUUAAAUUCUGUGACUUUGUACAUAAAUGCUUAGGUACAUUACAACAUAUAAUUUCAUAAGUACAAUUUUUAAACGUCAAGUAGAAAUUCAUUUGUACUUUUUUGCCUUUUAUGAUUGAAUAUUUUUCUAUUCAUACAUGAAUUUUCACGUGCAAGCUUACUAAUUUGCUUAAGUUCAGCAAGUGUUGGUCGACAGGCUAUGUUCUGACGUUGUAUGUUCAUGAUUUAUAAUCAUGAAAGAUUAGAUGAAGCAACUUGAGGCAAGCUUAAAAUCAUAUCUAAUAGAUAUCUUUUCUUGUUACAUCCGUAGCAAGAUUUUCAAGUUGUUAGCCAUACAAAAAGUAAGCUAGAUUUUCAAGCUACUUGUGUGUAGUACUCUGGUUUUCAGGUUUAAUUCUUCUUACAUGUAUCUGUUGUUGUAUUUAAAAAAGCAUCCAGAUCAAUGACUUCAUAUGAUAUUUUCCUGCAUUUUUGUUUAUGUACAAAAAGGGAAAUUUUCCUACAACUUCAACCACGUAAUCCGUAGUUUGUUGGUUUGUUUCUAAUAAUAUGCGUGAUCUUUUUCCUUUGAAGUUCGAACCUUUUGAUUUUAGGGAUGUCAUUUAUAAAGAUAUGGGAGAUAUUUUCAGUUCUUUGGCACUUCUUGCUUCUGGAAACUACGCACAGGUGGUGACGAGCAGAUGAAUGGUGACAGUAAGAAGAGGAGGAUAUGGGGACAUUCGACGGUGGCGGCGGCCGAUAUAAUCGUGCCUAUCAUCCUCAAGUUCUCCACCUAGAAGGGCGCCGUUAUGUAAGCGUGGUCCUAUCUGGAUAUUCAUUUCUCCUUGUUCAUCUGCUUCAAUUGUGUUGUGCACUAUAGGGUAUAUUAUGUGCUAUAUCGAUUCAGCUACUAGCUAACGAGUGCAUACUGGCUGGUGUACAAAUUUUAGAAUAUUUGGACUACAUCAAUCUCUUAAAGAAUUUUAUGAUGUUAAAAAUUCACCAUAGUUCCUUCGCUGCGCUCCUCAUUCGGUCUAACACCUCACCACCUGUAACUGGUGUGGCAGUAGCAGUGGGAGCAGAGCAGUCGGCGGGUUCCUGGCUUACCUGCCUCACAACAAGGCGGGCACGGCUGGGCUAGGCAGCCUGGACAUCCAGGAUUCACAAGUCGUGGUCCACUCCUGCUCGGAACGCUACAUGUUGGCAUUAUUAUAAACUCCCCCCUCCCUCACACACACACACACACACACACACACAAGACAACCCUCCAACAAAUCAGUGGGUCGAUCUUGUGUGAAAACUCCUUCAGGGAUAAUACAAAUUUCUGGUUAUUGUGACAGCUAAAGGUUUACACUGGUCAUUACGAAAAUAUUGUCUGCUCGAGUUGGUGAAAUGAAGGUUGUGGAUUAAGUGGAAUUGUAAUGUACACAUUAUUGGUUGCACCUAUAACAUUUUUGGUAAAUUGAUAUUACAACGAGCAACAAUUUUCAGAGCAAAGAAUAUUAUAUGUUCUAGCAAUGGUUUACAAAUCCCUUUUUGUAGAGGAUACUUUGCUUUAUUCAAUGCAGGAAAUAUUUUAGUCCUUACUAGCUCCGUACUGUUGUAAGCACACUGUUCUUUUUGUUCAGUCCAAAGGUUGGUGAACCACAUGUUAAACUUCCAUUGGAAGCCGUAUUACAAAUACCUAUCAUGCAACCAGUUGUUGUACUUUCUUCUUCACUAAUAUUAUUUUAUGAAUUUUUCUAAACCUGGAAGAAGCUUCCGCUAUGAUGUUGUUUGAACCUGAAAAAAGCUUGUACUGCAUUGAUAACUGAACCUGAAAAUUGCUGCAUCCUAUAUACAUUGGUAGAGUAAAAAAUAACUUGAUUUAUGUAGGACUUGUUUUGGAUUAAGUGGAUAGGUGAUGCACUAUUCUUGAUUGCAGCUGGUGCUUUUUUGGUAAUUUGAUAACACCACGAGCAGCAAUCGAGUUUGAAAGCCAGAAAACAUACAAAACAUGUAAAUGGGAGUACUGCCAGUUUAGGAGCCAAGUAACCAUUACUAGAGUAAUCAAUCUGAGAAAUGAUUAGUUGAGGAAAUUGAGUAUUAUUGUACUUCUCGACAAUGAAAUGGUCUUUUUUUUGUUCUAGGAAACGUUGGAGGUAGAAUCAGCUUCAAGCUCGAGUACCCAAUGGUAGAGAAGUAGAAAGGAGGCACAAGAUGGAACUAUGAACUCCGGUAGUAACAUUUUUAUUUCACCAAGUUAGGUUAAUGAUGUUCAGCUUAAUGGACAACUCUACAGACACUUAGUAGAACACAAGCUUUUGUUGUUGACUUCAAUAUAAGGUGCCCUAUGUACUAUUUUUAAGGUGUCAUGCUUCCCAAGAGAAUAUAUCUACAUGUAAAGAACUAGCUAAAUGAACUGGCUCAUCAAUUUCAAUCUAAAUGAACUAGCUCAUAAGCAUUCUUUGAUUUUGCUUCAUUAGUUUUGUUGUAGCAUAGUUCCAUUAAUAUUUGUGAUACUUAUUUUCUGUAUUAUUUACAAUUUUCAUUUAGCAAAGUGAUGUCCCUCUUGAAUAAUCAUAUGCUGCUAUCAGUUCAGACAUUGCACUUAGCAAAUUUAAUCUUUUAUGAGAUUAGAU